Molecule: long non-coding RNA, 1001 nt
Organism: Cylas formicarius (sweet potato weevil)
Lineage: Eukaryota; Metazoa; Arthropoda; Insecta; Coleoptera; Brentidae
Exons: 4
Source: RefSeq, a predicted model, not a curated record
GCGUGAAAGUGCUGCGCGGCCCGGCUGCCGAUACUUUAACGUCGCUUGAUCGAUGAGAAAGGGGGCCCCAAACGGCCCGCCCGCGUCGCCGCUUCCCAUAACGAUUCGGAUUUGUAAAUCGACACGCCACGCCAAGGGGACCAGGGGACGUAAAAACUAAUCUUAAAUCUACUAAUUUUAUAACUAAAAAAAAAGGAAAGAAGGAGAAAGAAGAGUAUAAGACUUAUCGGUACGGAUAACCCGACACCAAUCGAAGUUGCCGAUAUAAAUCGCAGUGCGAUGAUAGUUUGUUGAAGUCAUGGUAUAUGAAAGCGUAAUUGUCCCGGAAGAAACGGACAAUCCACUCCAUAAUGAACUAACUUACAGAGAAAUGAAACAGAUUGCCAGUCCCUGCGCAAGCUCAGAGACAGUACAGCGAACCUUCUCAGGAGAAGAUCAUGAUCAGCUCCCCUCUCGGGAUAGGAACCGUCCUACCUGAACAUUAGAUACUUCGGUAACCUACUCUACUCUGCAGUUAUAGAUUCGUGACCGUACCAGCGAGCCAUAGUCAAGCUUGGACCUAACGUAACAUCAUGUGAGGUACAAAAGAGAACGUCUGGUCAAGUAAAAUCCCCAGAUCCGUCACAGUGGCAAGUCUAGUCAGGAUAGUACCAUCCAUAUUGUAAUUAAAGACUAUGCUAGUUUUUGUGCGGUGGUAAGAUACCACAUUACACUUGCUGAUGUUAAGAUGCAAUUUAUUUUUAGGACACCACUGACUGACAAUAUUGAUAUUGUCCUGGAGGGUCAUGCAGUCCGUGCCGGUUUCAAUGCAUUCAUAUAGUUUUAGGUCAUCCGCAUAGGCAAGCUUGUCGCAGAUGGUUAAUAUAUUGAGCAGAAGAUUGGAACCUUGAGGCACAUCAGAAGUUGGAAUAAAAGGAACUGAUGCAUACCCCUCAAUCUCAACAAACAAUUCAUCAGAUAGGGGACCUCAACACUGUAAUCAGCGAAUCGGAGAAACCAAA